UACGAAGGGGGCUAGCGUUGCUCGGAAUUACUGGGCGUAAAGCGCACGUAGGCGGUCUUUUAAGUCGGUGGUGAAAUCCUGGAGCUCAACUCCAGAACUGCCUUCGAUACUGGAAGACUUGAGUCCGGGAGAGGUGAGCGGAACUGCGAGUGUAGAGGUGAAAUUCGUAGAUAUUCGCAAGAACACCAGUGGCGAAGGCGGCUCACUGGCCCGGUACUGACGCUGAGGUGCGAAAGCGUGGGGAGCAAACAGG
This 253-nucleotide ribosomal RNA is filed under the name uncultured bacterium. Its description in RNAcentral is "partial 16S ribosomal RNA". It matches the Rfam family "Bacterial small subunit ribosomal RNA", at positions 524 to 776 of the family's 1533-position model. The record is from RNAcentral.